Long non-coding RNA from Rosa chinensis, 852 nucleotides. RefSeq lists it as uncharacterized. The transcript has 4 exons. The record is from RefSeq and is a predicted model, not a curated record. NCBI's taxonomy places the organism in Eukaryota, Viridiplantae, Streptophyta, Magnoliopsida, Rosales, Rosaceae.
GGUGCUUUUGUUGCAUGGAGGAGGUCUAAAGAAACGAUCGGCUCACUCUCUCACUCUCUGUCGCGGCCGAACCCAGAAAAGAAAAGAAAAACAGAGCAAGUGUUCUUCAAGCUUGUUCUUCCACCACAGGCCAUCAAACGACACCGGACAACCUCCAGUAGAUUCGCCUCAGCCUUGCGAAGCAACCUGUAGCAGUCUUGGGUCUCGGCUCAGCCGGGAACGGCGGCGAAGGGAUAGAGUUCGUACGGCCCGAUUUGGUUCCAAGAAUGGUGACUCGAGCUACCGGCCACGAAACCUUCCCAAACUUCAUCCACAGGUUCGCCUUGACCUUCUGAAGCUCCCAGAACCACCCUUUCACGGCGGCGCUGCCUCUGGAAGCGGCUGGAACUUGAACCCGGUUGCACCCGAAACCUUCGAUCAGAAGGGAUCGAGGCCUGAGGUUGCAGUUUUUACGUCGAACUAGGAGCUCGCCGGUUUCUGGGUUUUUUCCGGCCAACCCGACUGGUUUGAGGUGAUUAACGGUUUUUACUUGGGCGAGCGAGUUUUGGUGUGUUUGUGAAAGUGAAGACGCAGCGGGAUAAGAGUACACUAUUCAAAUUGUGUAGCGGGAAAUCCUGCAGGUCAGGAGAAUCAGGGAGGUGAUCGUACGGGAUAGAAUCUUGUUUUUGGCUUGAUUGCGUUUUUAGUAAAUUGUGAGUUUAGUUUUAUUUGUUUCGAACCACAUAAUUUGGAUUUUGUGAGAGUGUGUUGUAAUAAGAAUUGAGGAGUUGGGUUUUGUAAUAUUGAGUGGAGUGUGGUGUCACUGUGUGUUACUCUGAAAGAAAAAAAAAUAGACUGGUAUUUGUAUUUGUA